CGUAAUGAAUUACUAUUUCAACCAAAAAAUAUGUUUUUCUGCCCUGGAUGAUCAUAUUUCAUACAAAAUCCUAUCGUUCUCGUAACAUAAUCCAAACAAAAUCACAAAAGAAUACCAAGAACAUUUACUUUCUCACAAAAUCAAUCUAUAUAUUACUUUUCCACGGUAUGAUACAUUAUUCAGUCAAAUUAAUACAUAAUUCACUCGAGCCUUGGACAGAGAACUACUAAACUACCAAAAAAAACUGAUCUCCUAAUUCACUGAUCCUUUCCUCUGACCAAGCUUGUUGUGCUACAAUAUUAUCAUCUUUGCUACAAUAAAAAAAAUCAAUAGUCAUUAGGAUGUAAGACAUGAAAAUUAUGACCAAAAGCUAUAUCAACAUCUUCAGAAUCCUACCCGCUCAUGAGUCAAACACAACCUUUAAUUAUGGGCCUAAAAGUAACCCAUAAUAUGCAAAUUCCAUAAGUCAGAAACUCUCGUCGUUGUUUAUGUCCGUAAUACGUGUUCUAUAUACAAAGAAGAUAGUUAGGCAUGAAAAGAAAUGGAAAGACCAUUGAGUAAUAAACAGAAAGUACGAUUAAAACUUCCAAAACCCAAAUCAGAUUAACCAAAAAAAUAUUAUACGAUACAUAUUGCAUAAACACACAUAUACUUGGUAAAGAUCCCUCCUGCAACCAAACAUACACAACAUUCAAAUGCUGCAAUAGGAUAUCAUUCUCUACAUUGAUCAAACCUGAUACAACUAUCAUGCAAAAACAUAAUCAGCAUUACUUAGUAUAAUUUACCGUCGAACUUCUAAGAGCAGCCACAAGUAAAAUGUUGAUGGGAAAAAAAGAAUUACCUUACCAACAGGUUCAUCAAGGUUUGCAAGCUCCAUAGACGAUUCAAUCAAAAAAAUCUCCUUAACCUACAAUUUAAUGUCACUCAUAAAUGUUAAUACAAUAAGCAUAGAUUGCACACACACUUUAGAGCUUGCACA
This is a long non-coding RNA of Rhododendron vialii, 979 nucleotides long. RefSeq lists it as uncharacterized. The record is from RefSeq and is a predicted model, not a curated record. Lineage: Eukaryota; Viridiplantae; Streptophyta; Magnoliopsida; Ericales; Ericaceae. The transcript is spliced from 2 exons.